Amphibalanus amphitrite is the source of this 487-nucleotide long non-coding RNA. RefSeq lists it as uncharacterized. NCBI's taxonomy places the organism in Eukaryota, Metazoa, Arthropoda, Thecostraca, Balanomorpha, Balanidae. The transcript has 2 exons. The record is from RefSeq and is a predicted model, not a curated record.
GGGCGGCAGCGGGCGGUCUGAUCCUCGCCUCCGGCAAGAGGGGAGACCGCGCGUCCCCCUGUCGCAUUGUGCCGCUGCCGCUCGCGGGAUGCGGACGAGUCUGUAGAGUGUGUUGUGCCGUCUGCCGUCUCCUCUUCGGGGCAUGAACGCAGGAUGCGAGGCUCGACAGGCGACGGGCGACUCAACCGCUCAAGAUGUGUAGAAUGUGGAUGGCGGAGGAGCGGCGGCCGAGGACGUGUGACGUGAUAAUAUCUGAAGCGUGGCUGACUCGAAAAAGUGUAGACUUAUCUUCAUGUAUGUAAAUAUGUUUUUCGGAAGUCCUCGGCUUAUAUUUCUCGGAGCCUCAGCUGCAACUGCGAAUGCCUAGAGCUCCAUAUAUGUAUACCCGGUCGCCUGUGGUUGGCGGCUGCUCCAUUCCUGGCAAUGAAAAAUGGCUAAAUGUGCUUGUUUUAAGUAAAAGUAAAAAAAUAUAGCACCAGAGACCGUA